Long non-coding RNA from Peromyscus maniculatus bairdii (prairie deer mouse), 1637 nucleotides. RefSeq lists it as uncharacterized. NCBI's taxonomy places the organism in Eukaryota, Metazoa, Chordata, Mammalia, Rodentia, Cricetidae. The record is from RefSeq and is a predicted model, not a curated record.
ACCCCAUCUACAGGUGUGGAAAGAGGUGGGAAAAAAAGACAGGGAAGAAGAAGCCUAAGUCCGAAACUGAAGAUGAAGAGCAACCGUACUAUUAUGAUGGUGUCCUCACUGUCCAAGCCUGCGGCUCUCCCCGCCACACACACACCCCUACACAACCCUCGAUGACACACAGCUACCCUCAGAGCAAGCCAGGCUUCUCGUCCAAGGACCGGUGUGAAGUAUCAGAGAGAGAUGUUUAAAAUCCCAUAGUAAUGACAUUAGUGGGCAAGCUUGGUUACUACUGACAAACCCUGCCUGUCCAUCGAUGCCGCGGGUCUGCCCGUGAGCCCUUAUUGUUCACCAGGCUAAGGUCACAGGCACUUGACAUUCUCUGCCCUAAGCCGAGUCCACACCGGAGAGAAGACAUGGGCAGUUGUAAGACAAAUUGGACAGGAACACAAAUGUCUCAGAGCCAACCCUUUACCACGAUCAGAAACACAUCCAACAGAAAUUCAAUCCGAAAUACAGUCUGCUACGUGGACAGAUGUCUCUUUUAGGAAACCCCCGAGGACGUGUAUUUGGUGCUCUAAUUUAUUCGUUUUUAGUUGAAAUUUGCCUAUCAAAUUAGAUUUUAAAAAGUUUUAAAGAUUACGUGUGUGUGUGUGUGUGUGUGUGUGUGUGUCUCUGUGUGUGUCUGUGUGUGUGUCUGUGUGUCUGUGUCUGUGUGCAGGUCAAAGGACGACUUGCAGGAGACAGUUCUCUCCUUCCCCAUGUGGGUCCUGGAGAUGGUCCUCUGGCCAUCAAGCUUUGUAACGGCUGCAUUUACCUGCUAAACCAUCUCGCUGACCCGGAUUAGACGCUUUAAUUGAGGCUGAUUAUAAUUUUCCUGCCAAUUUAUCUAAUGGCUAAGCCAGCCUUUCCUCUUACUAAUCAAUGUCAUCUGUACUGCCAAGCAAUGUUUCCAGUCCACACAGAUAAGCGAGGGAGGGAAAAAAAAAACCAGCUAUUUAUAGCUGUACUUGCAAUAGCGCUUUUAUUUGGAAAAGUUUAUAAUCAACUGUCUCAACUCUUGACCCGUUCUCUUCUGUCGGGAUGAUAAUGGCAGCUUUCUAGAAAGGGUCCUCAAAGCGAAGAGCACCCUAGAACAAGAUGCCAAACUGGACGGGCCUGCACAGAGAGACCUGUGAAAGAGCCAGAGAGAUGGAGGGCUGGCACAGCACGGCAAAAGGCCAGGAGGGAGAACUCUGCACCAAGGAGGAAGUGGCCGCUGCGUGCAAUGCCUCCUCGAGGUCAAGCUGGACGGAGAGUGGAAAGGUCGCGUGGAUGCAGUGCACCGUGUCAGAGGUGUGCUGCAGCCCUGCCUGUGCUGUGCUGCCAUGGUCAUGAGGUCUCUUCAUAAUGAGAAGAAAAAAAACAUAAGACACCGACCUUUGCUCCUGAUUCCAUCACUCCUACUCCCCAUCCCUUAACACCACCACUGCCGCACACAGAGGACUUACUCCGGGCCUGGCCGUCAUGAACCCAGUGCAUCACUACAUCAGUGCAAUUAAGAAGAGGUUCCGGGCCGGGCAGUGGUGGCGCACGCCUUUAAUCCCAGCACUUCGAAGGCAGAGCCAGGCGGAUCUCUGUGAGUUCAAGGCCAGCCUGGUCUCCAAAGU